This 72-nucleotide transfer RNA is filed under the name Anisakis simplex (herring worm). It matches the Rfam family "tRNA". From Rfam's summary of the family: Transfer RNA (tRNA) molecules are approximately 80 nucleotides in length. Lineage: Eukaryota; Metazoa; Nematoda; Chromadorea; Rhabditida; Anisakidae. The record is from Rfam by way of RNAcentral.
UCCGAUGUGGUCUAGUGGCUAGGAUAGGUGGCUUUCACCCACGCGGCCCGGGUUCGAUUCCCGGUAGGGGAA